Long non-coding RNA from Amphimedon queenslandica, 326 nucleotides. RefSeq lists it as uncharacterized. Lineage: Eukaryota; Metazoa; Porifera; Demospongiae; Haplosclerida; Niphatidae. The transcript has 2 exons. The record is from RefSeq and is a predicted model, not a curated record.
AUGCUACGAGUAGAAACACCACUGUGACUGGUCGAGAAGCCAUGGUUGCUAAGCCGUUGCUAAGCAAAAUGUGGCCACACCUACCGCUUUUCUCCAUUGAAAUGUUAGGCAAAGCAGCUCUCUCGAGUCGCUCGCCUUUUCUACUCACUUCUAGAGGAUUUCACAAGCCAAAGUUUGGGUCGCGCUACUGGACUUUUCUACCUAUAUACUCUGUUUUUAGUCUUUGACAAUGUUAUAUAUGUUAGAGAGAUGAAAGGAGAACCUUUUAAAGCUAUCUAGAAUGUUAUAUUUCCAUAAAUAAAAAAGAAAAUAACAAUUAUACUACA